This 445-nucleotide ribosomal RNA is filed under the name uncultured bacterium. RNAcentral describes it as "partial 16S ribosomal RNA". It matches the Rfam family "Bacterial small subunit ribosomal RNA", at positions 354 to 796 of the family's 1533-position model. The record is from RNAcentral.
GUGAGGAAUAUUGGACAAUGGGCGCAAGCCUGAUCCAGCCAUGCCGCGUGCAGGAAGACGCAUCUAUGGUGUGUAAACUGCUUUUGUACGGGAAGAAACACUCCCUCGUGAGGGAGCUUGACGGUACCGUAAGAAUAAGGAUCGGCUAACUCCGUGCCAGCAGCCGCGGUAAUACGGAGGAUCCAAGCGUUAUCCGGAAUCAUUGGGUUUAAAGGGUCCGUAGGCGGUUUAAUAAGUCAGUGGUGAAAGCCCAUCGCUCAACGAUGGAACGGCCAUUGAUACUGUUAGACUUGAAUUACAAGGAAGUAACUAGAAUAUGUAGUAUAGCGGUGAAAUGCUUAGAUAUUACAUGGAAUACCAAUUGCGAAGGCAGGUUACUACUUGUGGAUUGACGCUGAUGGACGAAAGCGUGGGGAGCGAACAGGAUUAGAUACCCGUGUAGUCC